CAACAGCAAAACUAGAAAAUUCUGGUGACUGGAAAAGGCCUUCAGAGAGAGGGAAGCAGUAUGCUGGGUCCAAGUGCAACUGCCCAUUUGAACCUGAGUGAAUUAGGUUUGUUUCCUCUCAGUCAGUUCCGGGCACUUGUUGUAUUUUGAUCAUCCCAGCAUGCGGGCCAAUUGGUUACAGUUCAAAGACUGGGCAGCACAACAUAAUUAAGAAGCGACUGACUUCUGGGAAAAGAUGAAAAGAGCUCAGAGUCUGAGAGCUGUGUGGCAGAAAACCCUGGAAGGAGGUGAUCACCCUUUCCAAGAAUUGAAAUUCAGUAACUAAAAGGCUACAAGAGGACCUUCUUGGGGAGCUGGGAGUGGUUCAAAAGGUAUGGGAUAUAUUUGAACAGUGAGAAUUCCAGAGUGAGGUCUCAAGAGGAAACUUCCUUGUGGGUGUCUGCAGGCUUAAUCUAUGGAGGAAAUGAUAGAAUUCCUUCCCAAGAGUUAGUAGGUGAAAUAGGAAGAGAAAUGCAAGCCAAACAGAUGAUGUGAUUUUGUUCUUCAGUGAGUGUUGUAUGAGAACUUAAUAGAGUGGGUCAGCUUCUCCCUGCCCUGGGGUGAGAAAGCAUCUGCUCUAAACCACACUGCAGGGGGGACCUUGAUUUGAAGGGAAGGGAAUUCACAUUGUAUCUGAGGCUAACCAACAACUCUGACAUCAUUUAGAGUAAGGGUUGGCAAAUUUUCCACAAAGAGACCGAUUGUAACUACUCUGGGGCCUGUGGGUCUGUGUCAACUGCUGAACUCUGCCUUGGUAGGUUGGAGGCAGUCACAGACAAUAUGUAAAUAAUGUGCAUAGCUGUGUUUCAAUAAAACUUUAUUUAUAUAAACAGAGCCCAGGAAGCCUGGGAGAGUCUGAGAGGUCUGAGCUGGCUGUGUGACCCCAGACCAGUUAAUUAACCCUUCUGAACAUCACUUUUCUUGACUCUAAAAAAGGAGUCCUGGAGUGCCCACCAUGUGAGUCUGCUCUCUGAAUCAAAUAGAACCAUGCCUGAGUAGCCUUCAGCGUAGGACUCGGCACAUAUAAGUACUGAAAUAGAAGAAAGGUGGUAAAAAGGAAGGCAGGUGUUGUUACAAUUCUUAUCUCAUUGUGUGUGGGUUUAUGUAACUCCAGUUUUCUCCAGUUUCUUUCUCCUCAAGUUCAAGGACCUGCUGCUUUGGCACAUAGUGGGUCUCUAGAAGCAGAAGUAGGGUGGUAGAUUGGAUGCCCAGGAUUUAGCCGGGCGAGGUGGGGCAGGGCAGCCGGGCAGGACAGGGAGGGGUUUAAGCCGAGGUUGUCUUAGCUGCGGUCCACCUUCCUCCCUAUCCCGCUGGAACCUCGGAAGCACCCGUGGCACCACAGUGUCACCUGGAGGCAGAGGGGCUGUCCCUUCACACCCUGAGCCGCUCAGUUGGUUACUGGCUGUGAGCGGCCCUGUGGUGGGGGGACAGUCCCCCAGGUGAGCUCGCAGCUUUCGCGCUGAUGGCAGCUCCAAGGAGGAGCAGCUGAAGCUGCCGUGAGCAACGCAGCGGCUGGGAAGCUGCUCUGCCUGCUGGGAGCUGGGAGGCGGCAGCCUCAGCCUCGUACACAGAGCCUGGUGAUGCUCUGAGGUUGUGCCCUAACCACCCACGAGACUAGGCUGCUUACAGGAACAGGGAGAGGCGCAGAGCCGAGGGACAGGAAGUGGCUUCUUUCCCAGUGACUCGUGGCAUUUCCUUUGCCCAGAGGAGUGACUGGCAUCACCCAGACGACCGAACCCUGAGCGUGGCACAAACGCCGAUGAUACCACCGUUAGCACCUGCCCGGGCUUCUGGGGACUAGUGGGUCCUAGCCUGGUCACUGGGGCCAGGUCACCCUGAGCCGGUCGCUUGGUGUUCCUAAGCCUCAGUUUCCUCAUCUGUAAAUUGGGGAUAAAUAAUAUUUCUUAAUUCAUAGAGUUUUUGUGAGUAUUAGAGUUAAUGCUCGUGAAAUAUUUUACAAACAUCAAGUGUCUGGCUCCCUUUAAGGAAAGUUGAAUGUAUGGUAAAUUUUUUUUCUUUUUUACUUUCUUCGUGGGGGCGGUAUGUUUUGUUUUCACUUUGAGAAGUGGUGUUGUCCAGUUCACCGUUUCUCCAUUGUCAUUUGCAUGUUACUUUGGAUUUUGUCAUACCUCUCACCACCUAAUAUUCAUUAACUGACUCUUUAAAAACAGCCUUAAACACUGUAGACUCACAGGUCAGACCAG
This is a long non-coding RNA of Bubalus bubalis (water buffalo), 2243 nucleotides long. RefSeq lists it as uncharacterized. The transcript is spliced from 2 exons. The record is from RefSeq and is a predicted model, not a curated record. Lineage: Eukaryota; Metazoa; Chordata; Mammalia; Artiodactyla; Bovidae.